Arachis ipaensis is the source of this 525-nucleotide non-coding RNA. The record is from RefSeq and is a predicted model, not a curated record. NCBI's taxonomy places the organism in Eukaryota, Viridiplantae, Streptophyta, Magnoliopsida, Fabales, Fabaceae.
ACUUAUCAUAGCACAUUAUAAUCCAAUGAGGGAAACCAGAGCUUCAAGGUAACGUGUGGGAUGAAUUUUUUGAAACUAAUGAUAAUUUAAUGCCCAAUGCUGGUGAUGAUGACCACAAGGUGCAAUUUGCAUUACAGGCUGAGAGCUGUGAUGCAAAUUCUAGCAGCGUGGAUGAUACUAUCUUAAGAGACAAGUGUUGGUGGAGUAUGAUGGCCUGUCUCAAUAUCAGGUGUUUUUUUUAUUUCCUUUGUGGUGAUUGCCAGUUGUUUUAUGAAGCAUAUGGACCAAUAGUGUCCAACAAUUAAUAAAAAUCAUGUUGAAUGUUCCCUUAGAAGUCUUUGCUUCGAUAUACUUGCAAUGAAGGUUGCAGAGUAGCUCUCUUUUUAUGGAAUGAUGAGCAUAUUGUGAGUUUAAUUUCUUAAAAUAGAGUUGUAAUAUAUCCAAUAAUUGGAAUCAGACAGUUUAAGGACUCACUUUGAAUAUUCGCAAGAUGUUCUUAGAAAUAGAGGUUGAGUUAUUCGAACA